Molecule: ribosomal RNA, 440 nt
Filed under: uncultured bacterium
Lineage: Bacteria
Description: partial 16S ribosomal RNA
Rfam family: Bacterial small subunit ribosomal RNA
Source: RNAcentral
CCUACGGGGUGCUGCAGUGGGGAAUAUUGCACAAUGGGGGAAACCCUGAUGCAGCGACGCCGCGUGAGUGAAGACGUACCUCGGUAUGUAAAGCUUCAUCAGCAGGGAAGAAAAUGACGGUACCUGACUAAGAAGCCCCGGCUAACUACGUGCCAACAGCCGCGGUAAUACGCAGGGGGCAAGCGUUAUCCGGAUUUACUGGGUGUAAAGGGAGCGUAGACGGCGCUGCAAGUCCGGAGUGAAAGCCCAUGGCUUAACCAUGGUACUGCUGUGGAAACUGUGGAGCUUGAGUGCGGGAGGGGCAGGCGGAAUUCCUAGGGUAGCGGUGAAAUGAGUAGAUAUUAGGAGGAACACCGGCGGGGAAGGCGGCCUGCUGGACCGUAACUGACGUUGAGGCUCGAAAGCGUGGGGAGCAAACAGGAUUAGAUACCCUAGUAGUC